GACGAACGCUGGCGGCGUGCUUAACACAUGCAAGUCGAACGAUGAAGUUCCUUCGGGAAUGGAUUAGUGGCGAACGGGUGAGGAACACGUGAGAAACCUGCCUUUCAUUUUGGGAUAACUCCGGGAAACCGGGGCUAAAACCGAAUACUCCGUCUCGGCGGCAUAGCUGAGCCGGGAAAAAAUUUUGAUGAAAGAUGGUCUCGCGGCCUAUCAGCUGGUUGGUGAGGUAAUGGCUCACCAAGGCAACGACGGGUAGCCGGCCUGAGAGGGCGAACGGCCACACUGGGACUGAGACACGGCCCAGACUCCUACGGGAGGCAGCAGUGGGGAAUAUUGGGCAAUGGGCGCAAGCCUGACCAGCGACGCCGCGUGAGGGAUGAAGGCCUUCGGGUUGUAAACCUCUUUCAGUAGGGAAGAAGCGAAAGUGACGGUACCUAAAGAAGAAGCACCGGCUAACUAUGUGCCAGCCGCCGCGGUAA
This 479-nucleotide ribosomal RNA is filed under the name uncultured bacterium. Its description in RNAcentral is "partial 16S ribosomal RNA". It matches the Rfam family "Bacterial small subunit ribosomal RNA", at positions 28 to 523 of the family's 1533-position model. The record is from RNAcentral.